Molecule: ribosomal RNA, 1346 nt
Filed under: uncultured bacterium
Lineage: Bacteria
Description: partial 16S ribosomal RNA
Rfam family: Bacterial small subunit ribosomal RNA
Source: RNAcentral
GACGAACGCUGGCGGCGUGCUUAACACAUGCAAGUCGAACGGAAAGGCCCUGCUUUUGUGGGGUGCUCGAGUGGCGAACGGGUGAGUAACACGUGAGUAACCUGCCCUUGACUUUGGGAUAACUUCAGGAAACUGGGGCUAAUACCGGAUAGGAGCUCCUGCUGCAUGGUGGGGGUUGGAAAGUUUCGGCGGUUGGGGAUGGACUCGCGGCUUAUCAGCUUGUUUGUGGGGUAGUGGCUUACCAAGGCUUUGACGGGUAGCCGGCCUGAGAGGGUGACCGGCCACAUUGGGACUGAGAUACGGCCCAGACUCCUACGGGAGGCAGCAGUGGGGAAUAUUGCACAAUGGGCGGAAGCCUGAUGCAGCAACGCCGCGUGCGGGAUGACGGCCUUCGGGUUGUAAACCGCUUUCGCCUGUGACGAAGCGUGAGUGACGGUAAUGGGUAAAGAAGCACCGGCUAACUACGUGCCAGCAGCCGCGGUGAUACGUAGGGUGCGAGCGUUGUCCGGAUUUAUUGGGCGUAAAGGGCUCGUAGGUGGUUGAUCGCGUCGGAAGUGUAAUCUUGGGGCUUAACCCUGAGCGUGCCUUCGAUACGGGUUGACUUGAGGAAGGUAGGGGAGAAUGGAAUUCCUGGUGGAGCGGUGGAAUGCGCAGAUAUCAGGAGGAACACCAGUGGCGAAGGCGGUUCUCUGGGCCUUUCCUGACGCUGAGGAGCGAAAGCGUGGGGAGCGAACAGGCUUAGAUACCCUGGUAGUCCACGCUGUAAACGGUGGGUACUAGGUGUGGGGUCCAUUCCACGGGUUCCGUGCCGUAGCUAACGCUUUAAGUACCCCGCCUGGGGAGUACGGCCGCAAGGCUAAAACUCAAAGGAAUUGACGGGGCCCCGCACAAGCGGCGGAGCAUGCGGAUUAAUUCGAUGCAACGCGUAGAACCUUACCUGGGUUUGACAUGGAUCGGGAGUGCUCAGAGAUGGGUGUGCCUCUUUUGGGGUCGGUUCACAGGUGGUGCAUGGCUGUCGUCAGCUCGUGUCGUGAGAUGUUGGGUUAAGUCCCGCAACGAGCGCAACCCUUGUUCACUGUUGCCAGCACGUUAUGGUGGGGACUCAGUGGAGACCGCCGGGGUCAACUCGGAGGAAGGUGGGGAUGACGUCAAGUCAUCAUGCCCCUUAUGUCCAGGGCUUCACGCAUGCUACAAUGGCUGGUACAGAGAGUGGCGAGCCUGUGAGGGUGAGCGAAUCUCGGAAAGCCGGUCUCAGUUCGGAUUGGGGUCUGCAACUCGACCUCAUGAAGUCGGAGUCGCUAGUAAUCGCAGAUCAGCAACGCUGCGGUGAAUACGUUCCCGGGGCU